AUGGCGCAAAAAAAUAGUGGUAGAGGAAAACAUGAACCCAGGACUACACUUAGCCUCGCUCAAAUCAACACCUAUUCUAGCCCGCAACCUGUUCCCAACGUCUCUCAAUCCCAUGAGUUGUUGUUUCGCUCCAAUCCAAAUGCCCUGUUGGAAGCAUGGCAAUCAACUUGCUUUCUCUCUCUUCAUUUCUCGUUUCCGCUACGCUUCUCUGCAUCCACCUUUUAUAACAUGGUUAGGCUACGUGUAGAUGCGGCCAUUCCAUGGCUUCCCAUUAUUUAUGGCACUACAAUAAUGCUCUACUAA
This 303-nucleotide ribosomal RNA is filed under the name Triticum aestivum (bread wheat). Its description in RNAcentral is "partial small subunit ribosomal RNA". Lineage: Eukaryota; Viridiplantae; Streptophyta; Magnoliopsida; Poales; Poaceae. The record is from RNAcentral.